CCGAGUUAUACAACUCAUCAACCCUGUGAACAUACCUAUAACGUUGCCUCGGCGGGAACAGACGGCCCCGUAACACGGGCCGCCCCCGCCAGAGGACCCCCUAACUCUGUUUCUAUAACUGUUUCUUCUGAGUGCAACAAGCAAAUAAUUA
This 151-nucleotide unclassified non-coding RNA is filed under the name soil metagenome. RNAcentral's name for it is "partial internal transcribed spacer 1". The record is from RNAcentral.